GUGGAUGUAGCUCAGUCUGGAUAGAGCACUAGAUUGUGGAUCUAGGGGUCGCGGGUUCAAGUCCCGUCAUCCACCCCA
This 78-nucleotide transfer RNA is filed under the name Elusimicrobiota bacterium. Its description in RNAcentral is "tRNA-His". It matches the Rfam family "tRNA". Rfam says of the family: Transfer RNA (tRNA) molecules are approximately 80 nucleotides in length. Their secondary structure includes four short double-helical elements and three loops (D, anti-codon, and T loops). Further hydrogen bonds mediate the characteristic L-shaped molecular structure. tRNAs have two regions of fundamental functional importance: the anti-codon, which is responsible for specific mRNA codon recognition, and the 3' end, to which the tRNAs corresponding amino acid is attached (by aminoacyl-tRNA synthetases). tRNAs cope with the degeneracy of the genetic code in two manners: having more than one tRNA (with a specific anti-codon) for a particular amino acid; and 'wobble' base-pairing, i.e. permitting non-standard base-pairing at the 3rd anti-codon position. RNAcentral also lists the same sequence under 1 other name. Lineage: Bacteria; Pseudomonadati; Elusimicrobiota. The record is from RNAcentral.